This 557-nucleotide ribosomal RNA is filed under the name uncultured bacterium. Its description in RNAcentral is "partial 16S ribosomal RNA". It matches the Rfam family "Bacterial small subunit ribosomal RNA", at positions 355 to 902 of the family's 1533-position model. The record is from RNAcentral.
UGGGGAAUUUUGGACAAUGGGGGAAACCCUGAUCCAGCCAUCCCGCGUGUGCGAUGAAGGCCUUCGGGUUGUAAAGCACUUUUGGCAGGAAAGAAACGUCGCGGGUUAAUACCCCGCGAAACUGACGGUACCUGCAGAAUAAGCACCGGCUAACUACGUGCCAGCAGCCGCGGUAAUACGUAGGGUGCAAGCGUUAAUCGGAAUUACUGGGCGUAAAGCGUGCGCAGGCGGUUCGGAAAGAAAGAUGUGAAAUCCCAGAGCUUAACUUUGGAACUGCAUUUUUAACUACCGGGCUAGAGUGUGUCAGAGGGAGGUGGAAUUCCGCGUGUAGCAGUGAAAUGCGUAGAUAUGCGGAGGAACACCGAUGGCGAAGGCAGCCUCCUGGGAUAACACUGACGCUCAUGCACGAAAGCGUGGGGAGCAAACAGGAUUAGAUACCCUGGUAGUCCACGCCCUAAACGAUGCCCAACUAGCUGUUGGGGCCUUCGGGGCCUUGGUAGCGCAGCUAACGCGUGAAGUUGACCGCCCUGGGGAGUACGGUCGCAAGAUUAAAACUU